GUUUGAUCCUGGCUCAAGACGAACGCUGGCGGCGUGCCUAACACAUGCAAGUCGAGCGAUGAAAGAGAAGUGGCGGUCUUCAGACCAAAGCUUUUCUGGAUUAGCGGCGGACGGGUGAGUAACACGUGAGCACCCUGCCUAUCACAUCGGGAUAGCCUCGGGAAACUGGGAUUAAUACCGAAUGAAACAUAUUGGUAACCUUAUCGAAAUGUCAAAGAUUUAUCGGUGAUAGAUGGGCUCGCGUCUGAUUAGCUAGUUGGUGAGAUAAAACCCCACCAAGGCAAUGAUCAGUAGCCGGCCUGAGAGGGUGAUCGGCCACAUUGGGACUGAGACACGGCCCAAACUCCUACGGGAGGCAGCAGUGGGGAAUAUUGCACAAUGGAGGGAACUCUGAUGCAGCGACGCCGCGUGAGCGAAGAAGGAAUUCGUUUCGUAAAGCUCUGUCCUAUGGGAAGAUAAUGACGGUACCAUAGAAGAAAGCCCCGGCUAACUACGUGCCAGCAGCCGCGGUAAUACGUAGGGGGCGAGCGUUGUCCGGAAUUAUUGGGCGUAAAGGGUUCGUAGGCGGUAAUACAUGUCAGAUGUGAAAUACUCGGGCUUAACCUGAGUGCUGCAUUUCAAACUGGAAGUCUAGAGUGCAGGAGAGGAGAAGGGAAUUCCUAGUGUAGCGGUGAAAUGCGUAGAGAUUAGGAAGAACACCAGUGGCGAAGGCGCUUCUCUGGACUGUAACUGACGCUGAGGCUCGAAAGCGUGGGGAGCAAACAGGAUUAGAUACCCUGGUAGUCCACGCCGUAAACGAUGGAAUACUUAGGUGUAGGGGGUUUCAUGACCUCUGUGCCGCCGCUUAACGCAUUAAGUAUUCCCCCCUGGGGAGGUCGGUUCGCAAAGAUUAAAACUCAAAGGAAAUGACGGGGGCCCGCACAAGCAGCGGAGCAUGGGGUUAAUUCGAAGCAACGCGAAGAACCUUACCUUGACUUGACAUCUCCUGCAUUACUCUUAAUCGAGGAAGUCCCUUCGGGGACAGGAUGACAGGUGGUGCAUGGUUGUCGUCAGCUCGUGUCGUGAGAUGUUGGGUUAAGUCCCGCAACGAGCGCAACCCUUAUUGUUAGUUGCCAUCAUUAAGUUGGGCACUCUAGCGAGACUGCCCGGGUUAACCGGGAGGAAGGUGGGGAUGACGUCAAAUCAUCAUGCCCCUUAUGUCUAGGGCUACACACGUGCUACAAUGGUCGGUACAAUAAGACGCAAGCCCGCGAGGGGGAGCAAAACUGGAAAACCGAUCUCAGUUCGGAUUGUAGGCUGAAACUCGCCUACAUGAAGCUGGAGUUGCUAGUAAUCGCGAAUCAGCAUGUCGCGGUGAAUACGUUCCCGGACCUUGUACACACCGCCCGUCA
Molecule: ribosomal RNA, 1391 nt
Filed under: uncultured bacterium
Lineage: Bacteria
Description: 16S ribosomal RNA
Rfam family: Bacterial small subunit ribosomal RNA
Source: RNAcentral